ACGGGUGAGUAAUACAUCGGAACGUGUCCUGUAGUGGGGGAUAGCCCGGCGAAAGCCGGAUUAAUACCGCAUACGCUCUACGGAGGAAAGGGGGGGAUCUUAGGACCUCCCGCUACAGGGGCGGCCGAUGGCAGAUUAGCUAGUUGGUGGGGUAAAGGCCUACCAAGGCGACGAUCUGUAGCUGGUCUGAGAGGACGACCAGCCACACUGGGACUGAGACACGGCCCAGACUCCUACGGGAGGCAGCAGUGGGGAAUUUUGGACAAUGGGGGCAACCCUGAUCCAGCAAUGCCGCGUGUGUGAAGAAGGCCUUCGGGUUGUAAAGCACUUUUGUCCGGAAAGAAAACGCCGUGGUUAAUACCCGUGGCGGAUGACGGUACCGGAAGAAUAAGCACCGGCUAACUACGUGCCAGCAGCCGCGGUAAUACGUAGGGUGCAAGCGUUAAUCGGAAUUACUGGGCGUAAAGCGUGCGCAGGCGGUCCGCUAAGACAGAUGUGAAAUCCCCGGGCUUAACCUGGGAACUGCAUUUGUGACUGGCGGGCUAGAGUAUGGCAGAGGGGGGAGAUUCCACGUGUAGCAGUG
This 583-nucleotide ribosomal RNA is filed under the name uncultured Burkholderia sp. Its description in RNAcentral is "bacterial SSU rRNA". It matches the Rfam family "Bacterial small subunit ribosomal RNA", at positions 102 to 683 of the family's 1533-position model. The record is from RNAcentral. Lineage: Bacteria; Pseudomonadati; Pseudomonadota; Betaproteobacteria; Burkholderiales; Burkholderiaceae.